This 253-nucleotide ribosomal RNA is filed under the name uncultured bacterium. Its description in RNAcentral is "partial 16S ribosomal RNA". It matches the Rfam family "Bacterial small subunit ribosomal RNA", at positions 524 to 776 of the family's 1533-position model. The record is from RNAcentral.
UACGGAGGGUGCGAGCGUUGUCCGGAAUCACUGGGCGUAAAGGGCGCGUAGGUGGCGCGGGAAGUCAACGGUGAAAGCUCGGGGCUCAACCCUGAAUCGGCCGUCGAUACUCCCGGGCUCGAGCACUGUAGAGGCAGAUGGAAUUCCGGGUGUAGCGGUGGAAUGCGUAGAGAUCCGGAAGAACACCGGUGGCGAAGGCGGUCUGCUGGGCAGUUGCUGACACUGAGGCGCGACAGCGUGGGGAGCAAACAGG